RNAcentral lists this ribosomal RNA (476 nucleotides) under Chaetodon lunula (raccoon butterflyfish). RNAcentral describes it as "partial small subunit ribosomal RNA". It matches the Rfam family "Bacterial small subunit ribosomal RNA", at positions 788 to 1491 of the family's 1533-position model. Lineage: Eukaryota; Metazoa; Chordata; Actinopteri; Chaetodontiformes; Chaetodontidae. The record is from RNAcentral.
CACUAUGCCUAGCCCUAAACAUUGACAGUUAAUUACACCCACUGUCCGCCUGGGAACUACGAGCACCAGCUUAAAACCCAAAGGACUUGGCGGUGCUUUAGACCCACCUAGAGGAGCCUGUUCUAGAACCGAUAAUCCCCGUUAAACCUCACCCUUCCUUGUCAUUUCCGCCUAUAUACCACCGUCGCCAGCUUACCCUGUGAAGGCCCAAUAGUAAGCACAAUCGGCAAUGCCCAAAACGUCAGGUCGAGGUGUAGCGUAUGGAAGGGGAAGAAAUGGGCUACAUUUACUAACACAGUAAACACGGAUGAUUACCCUGCAACGAGUAUCUGAAGGAGGAUUUAGCAGUAAGCAAAAAGCAGAGUGUUUUGCUGAAAUUGGCCCUGAAGCGUGCACACACCGCCCGUCACUCUCUCCGAACUAAAACUUUAAACAUAACUAAUAUGCUAUAACUGUAAAGGGGAGGCAAGUCGUAA